Molecule: non-coding RNA, 290 nt
Filed under: Paenibacillus wynnii
Lineage: Bacteria; Bacillati; Bacillota; Bacilli; Caryophanales; Paenibacillaceae
Description: T-box sequence
Rfam family: T-box leader
About the family: Uncharged tRNA acts as the effector for transcription antitermination of genes in the T-box leader family. T-boxes are found upstream of many aminoacyl-tRNA synthetase genes and some amino acid biosynthetic genes usually in Gram-positive bacteria. The anticodon of a specific tRNA base pairs to a specifier sequence within the T-box motif, and the NCCA acceptor tail of the tRNA base pairs to a conserved bulge in the T-box antiterminator hairpin.
Source: RNAcentral
UCAAAGACUGGGAAUGGGAAGAGUAGGCAGUCAGCCCUUCAGAGAGCGGAAUUAUUAGUAGCUGUGAAAUUCCGCAGGAUGCAUGUCAGCCGAAGUCGCCCUGGAGUCGCCUGUCUGAAUCUGUCAUCCUAUUCAUGAAUGACAGGGUAGGAUAUGGCCGGUCGCAGCCGUUACCCUGCAUGAGUGUCGCGCUAUGCCGCUGGAACCUUAAGGAACCAUGAGCGGAGUUUUAUUCUUUAUUGGCGCGAAACAAAGGUGGUACCGCGAAAGAAUGGCCUUUCGUCCUUUGA